UACGAAGGUCCCGAGCGUUGUUCGGAAUCACUGGGCGUAAAGGGAGCGUAGGCGGCGCGGUAAGUCAGAUGUGAAAUCCCGGGGCUCAACCCCGGAACUGCAUCCGAUACUGCCGUGCUAGAGGAUUGGAGAGGUAGCUGGAAUUCUUGGUGUAGCAGUGAAAUGCGUGGAGAUCAAGAGGAACACUCGUGGCGAAAGCGAGCUACUGGACAAUAUCUGACGCUGAGGCUCGAAGGCCAGGGUAGCAAACGGG
RNAcentral lists this ribosomal RNA (253 nucleotides) under uncultured bacterium. RNAcentral describes it as "partial 16S ribosomal RNA". It matches the Rfam family "Bacterial small subunit ribosomal RNA", at positions 524 to 776 of the family's 1533-position model. The record is from RNAcentral.